CGUGAGGGAAAGGUGAAAAGAACCCCGGGAGGGGAGUGAAAGAGAACCUGAAACCAUAUGCCUACAAGAAGUCAGAGCCCGUUAAAGGGUGAUGGCGUGCCUUUUGUAGAAUGAACCGGCGAGUUACUGUAUGGAGCGAGGUUAAGCAGGAUAUGCGGAGCCGAAGCGAAAGCGAGUCUUAAGAGGGCGCGAGUUGCAUGCAGUAGACCCGAAACCGGGUGAUCUAGCCAUGACCAGGUUGAAGUUGGGGUAAAACCCGAUGGAGGACCGAACCGACCCCCGUUGAAACGUUGGCGGAUGAGUUGUGGCUAGGGGUGAAAUUCCAAUCGAACCCGGAGAUAGCUGGUUCUCCCCGAAAUAGCUUUAGGGCUAGCGUCGAGAGAAGAGUUGCGUGAAGGUAGAGCACUGAAUAUGUGAUGGCCCCAUCUCGGGGUACUGAGCAUAAUCAAACUGCGAAUGUCACGCCAACAUGCUCGGCAGUCAGACAGCGGGUGAUAAGGUCCGUUGUCAAGAGGGAAACAGCCCAGACCAUCAGCUAAGGUCCCAAAAUGUAUGCUAAGUGGAAAAGGAUGUGGAGAUGUACAGACAACUAGGAGGUUGGCUCAGAAGCAGCCAUCCUUUAAAGAGUGCGUAACAGCUCACUAGUCGAAUGACUCUGCGCCGAUAAUUUACCGGGGCUAAGCAUACUACCGAAGCUAUGGAUCCCAAGGGAUGGUAGGGGAGCGUUCCAUGAACGGAGAAGUACGACCGAAAGGACGUGUGGAGAUCAUGGAAGAGAGAAUGCCGGUGUGAGUAGCGGAACGUGGGUGAGAAUCCCACGCACCGAAAACCCAAGGUUUCCAGAGGAAGGUUCGUCCGCUCUGGGUAAGUCGGGACCUAAGGCGAGGCCGAAAGGCGUAGUCGAUGGACAACAGGUAGAGAUUCCUGUACCCGUAUAUAUGUGAAGGAAUGACGGAGAGAGGAAGCUGCAGCCAGCGGCUGGAAGAGCUGGUGCAAGCGAGAUAUCGGGAUGGCAGGCAAAUCCACCAUCCGAAACGAGAAGGCGUGAAGCGUACGGAAAGCUACGGCGAGUACGGAAGGCAGUGGAGGAACUUCCAAGAAAAGUUUCUAACGUUAAGUAUAUAUGGCCCGUACCGAAAAUGGACACACAUGGGUGAGGAGAGAAUCCUAAGGUGAGCGAGAGAACUAUAGCUAAGGAACUCUGCAAAAUGACUCCGUAACUUAGGGAGAAGGAGUGCUCAUAGAGAUAUGAGCCGCAGUGAAACGGCCCAAGCGACUGUUUACCAAAAACACAGCUCUCUGCUAAGCCGCAAGGCGAAGUAUAGGGGGUGACGCCUGCCCGGUGCUGGAAGGUUAAGGGGAGGGGUUAACGCAAGUGAAGCCCUGAACUGAAGCCCCAGUAAACGGCGGCCGUAACUAUAACGGUCCUAAGGUAGCGAAAUUCCUUGUCAGGUAAGUUCUGACCCGCACGAAAGGCGUAACGAUUUGGGCGCUGUCUCAGCUGUAGACUCGGUGAAGUCUUAGUACCUGUGAAGAUGCAGGUUACCCGCGACUAGACGGAAAGACCCCAUGGAGCUUCACUGCAGGUUGAUAUUGGGAUUUGAUGCAGCAUGUACAGGAUAGGUAGGAGGCAAAGAGAUGGAUACGCCAGUAUUCAAGGAGCCGCUGUUGGGAUACUACCCCUGUUGUAUUGGAUUUCUAACCGGACGACGUAGAGCCGUUGACGGGACAGUGUCAGUCGGGCAGUUUGACUGGGGCGGUCGCCUCCCAAAGAGUAACGGAGGCGCCCAAAGAUACCCUCAGCUUGGAUGGAAACCAAGCGCAGAGUGCAAAGGCAAAAGGGUGUUUGACUGCGAGACCUACAAGUCGAGCAGGGACGAAAGUCGGGCUUAGUGAUCCGGCGGUGCUGAAUGGAAAGGCCGUCGCUCAACGGAUAAAAGCUACCCUGGGGAUAACAGGCUGAUCUCCCCCAAGAGUUCACAUCGACGGGGAGGUUUGGCACCUCGAUGUCGGCUCAUCGCAUCCUGGAGCGGAAGUACGUUCCAAGGGUUGGGCUGUUCGCCCAUUAAAGCGGUACGCGAGCUGGGUUCAGAACGUCGUGAGACAGUUCGGUCCCUAUCUGUCGUGGGCGCAGGAAAUUUGAGAAGAGCUGUCCUCAGUACGAGAGGACCGGGAUGGACGCAUCAAUGGUGGACCAGUUGUCACGCCAGUGGCAUAGCUGGGUAGCUAAAUGCGGAAGGGAUAAACGCUGAAGGCAUCUAAGUGUGAAACCCACUUCAAGAUGAGAUUUCCCAUUGCGCAAGCAAGUAAGACCCCUUAAAGACGAUAAGGUAGAUAGGUCAGGAGUGUAAGCAUGGUGACAUGUUAAGCGGACUGAUACUAAUAGGUCGAGGGCUUGACCG
RNAcentral lists this ribosomal RNA (2402 nucleotides) under human metagenome. Its description in RNAcentral is "bacterial LSU rRNA". It matches the Rfam family "Bacterial large subunit ribosomal RNA", at positions 502 to 2925 of the family's 2925-position model. The record is from RNAcentral.